This 69-nucleotide transfer RNA is filed under the name Desmognathus marmoratus. Its description in RNAcentral is "tRNA-Tyr". It matches the Rfam family "tRNA". From Rfam's summary of the family: Transfer RNA (tRNA) molecules are approximately 80 nucleotides in length. Their secondary structure includes four short double-helical elements and three loops (D, anti-codon, and T loops). Further hydrogen bonds mediate the characteristic L-shaped molecular structure. tRNAs have two regions of fundamental functional importance: the anti-codon, which is responsible for specific mRNA codon recognition, and the 3' end, to which the tRNAs corresponding amino acid is attached (by aminoacyl-tRNA synthetases). tRNAs cope with the degeneracy of the genetic code in two manners: having more than one tRNA (with a specific anti-codon) for a particular amino acid; and 'wobble' base-pairing, i.e. permitting non-standard base-pairing at the 3rd anti-codon position. Lineage: Eukaryota; Metazoa; Chordata; Amphibia; Caudata; Plethodontidae. The record is from RNAcentral.
AGGUAAAGUGGCCGAAUAGGUGUUGAGUUGUAGCCUCAAUAAUAGGGGUUAAAGUCCCUUCUAUACCAA